UUUGAACAUUGUGUGCAUUGGAUGAUAGGAAGUUCAGAUUUUGCACUAGAGUAACUAAAAGCAGCUCAAAGUAUGUAGUUGGUGAAUACAAUAAAAACUUCAGUACUGAAAGCUAAGAUGCUUGUGACAUCCCAUCAAGUAGGAUUUAGGCAUGUAUAUAACGCACUAAUUUCUUAAGAAUUCACUCUUGGCGUAUUAUUUAUUUAACAUUCAAAAGUGAGUUCAAAACCAGUCAGAACCCAUAGGUGAAUAUGCAAAAAAUGGAAAUAGAACUCUCGCAGACCCUAGCUAGACAUGAAAAUCAAACUGCAAAUCAGUGUACAUGUAUCAUGUAUCAUUAUAUCAGCCAAUAUCUGGACCCACUUCAGGUUAAUUAAUCUCUAAAACACAAAGCUGUUUAUGAAAGACACACUAAUGAACAUGCAUCCAAAGGUGCCUUUACAAGUUCGCACGUCCACCAUAUAGCUGUGAAAAAUCUAAAAAGAAAAUACUUGUGCUGGUAUAAGACAGCACACUCAUGAGACUACCUUGGCUAAGAUUAAGAUAGGAACUGAAUAUGGUAGUUACCCAGGCUUCACAAACUUAAGGACAACCACAGGGUAUAAUUUUAACCACAUACCCAUUAUUUACAAGAACCUUUCUUUGCAAAAAUAACACUAUCAGCAUGCACUCAAAGCAAAUAUAACUACGUAAGUAAACGACUAAGAUGUGAUUCUCAAAGAUGAAGACCACCGGUACAAAAUUUAGCACCUAAUGACCAUCAUCCCCAUGGAAAGUUUUUAAACAGGGAAAAGAAAAAUCACCAAAUUUAUUAGAUAGUAAACUCAUGUCUUAUCAAAAGGGAAAAAAAGAUGAUAAACCCAUGAAACCUGGUAGCGAAUAACUAAUCCCUUUGCAAACCUAAAAAAUAUUGACAUGCACAUUCAAUAAUAAUUUCCAUGUACAAAGCCCAGAGGAAACAAAUAUGCAAAACAAAAGGUAAAAACCAAAAGUACAAGGGAGAGCAACUCCAAUACUUAACAAAUUACUCCAACAUAUCUUAUAUGUAAGAAGGCAAACAUAUGCAUGAACAGGCAUGCACACAAACAGCAACAAAAAGGGUUGGAAAGAAAAAGCAAUUCCCACAUAUGAAGAAGGUGGAUCAUGGAAGUCAUGUGUCCAAACACUUGUUCCCUGUCUAUACAACCGUGCUCAGAACAAUUAGGAAACCUAUAAAACUAGUAACAAUCUCAAAAGUGCCAAAGCACUGAGAUAUAGUUGCCUGUAAGAUAAGUGAACAACUAGAUCCAAAGGAAAAGUCUACUAUCCAGUUGCACUCCAUUGCCGACUACCAAGCAUGGAAGAACAAAUAGACAUAUUAUCUGUUUAACCAAAAUAAUUGCUCUUAGCUAACCAAGCCAAAAACCUAGAUGCUAUCAUUCAAGACAAUCAGAUACCUUUCACCUGAAUAAUAACUUAAAUAAUCAGCAAAGCUUGAUGCACAUCAUUGAAAUUCCAAAGAUAGAAUCAAGUAUCAAACAGAAGAACAGACACCACAACCCCUGUUUCAAACAAAUAUAGGAGAUUUGUAUAUAAAUUAGCACAUCUAACAACCAAAAAAGAAUCGCAGAUAAGGAGCCUAGCAAUGAUAUAUGAAAAUAACUUCAAAGGAAAAGAAACAGCUGAGCCUACUUGAUAAAAUGAUUAAUCAGUGGCAUGGCCAGCAUGAACUGAAAAAAUUCAAAGUUUUAAUGCAAUUAGAGAAUGGAAUACCAGUCAAAGACAUAGAGUACAUUUGCGCAUGAAUCCUGCAUGAGGGAAAUAACAAUUAAUCAAAGAGGAAGACUGAUGUGUCGUGCAGACUAAAGGCAGUCAUGAACUGGAAGGCUCGUGAGCUGCUGAUCUGCAGGGUGGAGUACCAUCACAUCUACCGUGAAGCUAACCAAGCUGUGGACUGGGCAGCAAGGGAAGCUUUUUCCUACCCAGACUCCUCUUUCCUUUUGUAAUGCUAAUAUGCCCCGACCCUUGGUUUUUAUUUGUUGGGGUGAUUUUUCGGGAUGAGCUACCUUCUGUCUUGUGUAGCUCCUCUGGAUUUACCCAAAAAAAAAAAAAAAAGAGAAUCCCCCUCCCAAUGGUGGGGAAUGGAAGAACCAUAGAGGAGACCAUGAAAAACAAACAAAAAAAAGUCAUCACCACAGAAACUGAUGGCAAACCUCCCAAUAACAUGAAGCAGCAUUAUCUUUGAAUGUCAAGACGUCAUCAUUAGACCAAUGCACUUAAGGUAUUGAGUGAGGAGCUUACUUUGCUUUAACCUACUACUCAAGUGUCACAUAGAAGUACCAGAAUACAUUUUUAAAUCUAACUUUCAAUAAAUCCUAUACAAACAAUACAGCUUAUAAGCUCAACCAUACAACAUAAACAACACACAAGAAUCCUCUCUCUCCCUCCCCCCUUCUUUUUUGAGGGCUUAAGACACACAUGAAUCAAGAUGGCCACAAAACCAUCUUAUUACAUCCAUCUUCAUGAUCAAUAAACUCUAUACAAACCAUAAAGCAUAUUAACCAAACUCUACAGCUUAAAUAACAUAGAAGAAUCAAGAUACCAGACAUAGAAUACAAAUAAUGGGCAAGGCAUAUAGUUCAAAAAAGAAACAUUUUUGGUUGGACAUCCUUGACCACCAAAGCAUAAAUUGAUGCAAGAUGCAUCACAUUUUCCCUGUUGCAAGAAGACAAUUGUUAAUGACAAAAUUUCAUACUUGAAUAGUAACACAAAGAAAAAACUCUUGUAUACAAGACUGACACAUCUAUGUCUACUCCAAUAUAUUAUUAAAAACCAUAACACAUUGCUCACAAGUAGGACACAGACCAUCAUAACACGCACAAAAAGGCACAAGCUGAAUCGGUACUCAUACAAGCAGCUGAACAUCACUCAGCAACCAAUUACGAAUGAAAGACAUGAGGUCAGAAAACAGGCAUUCACUCCAGAACAUCCAUUAGAUGUCCAUCCAGAAAUAGAUUUCCUUUGGAUAUUCUUAAAUAGAACACGGAAUAAUAUGUCCAGUCUGUAUCAAGCAAAAGUGUCUUGGUAUCAUGCACUGUUUCUCCAGACAAGCAUAACACACGAAUUUUGUAGACAAAUACUCGAAAGAAAAAUAUUCAUAAAAAAAAAAUACUCGAAAGAAAAAUGACCAUCUACAAGUCAUCAGCCUAGCAACUGGUUAGAUCACACAAGUCCUAUAUAUUAUCUCAAAUAACACCACGAUUUAUAUUGCAUAAAUGGCAAUAACAUAUGCACAGUACCAGCUAGAGAGAGAAUCAGAUAAAGAUGCAUUCCAAUGCAAUGAAAUAAAAGGUGCACCCCCCCCCCCCAAAAAAAA
Molecule: non-coding RNA, 3355 nt
Organism: Nelumbo nucifera (sacred lotus)
Lineage: Eukaryota; Viridiplantae; Streptophyta; Magnoliopsida; Proteales; Nelumbonaceae
Source: RefSeq, a predicted model, not a curated record